Molecule: ribosomal RNA, 1253 nt
Filed under: Escherichia coli
Lineage: Bacteria; Pseudomonadati; Pseudomonadota; Gammaproteobacteria; Enterobacterales; Enterobacteriaceae
Description: partial 23S ribosomal RNA
Rfam family: Bacterial large subunit ribosomal RNA
Source: RNAcentral
GGUUAAGCGACUAAGCGUACACGGUGGAUGCCCUGGCAGUCAGAGGCGAUGAAGGACGUGCUAAUCUGCGAUAAGCGUCGGUGAGGUGAUAUGAACCGUUAUAACCGGCGAUUUCCGAAUGGGGAAACCCAGUGUGUUUCGACACACUAUCAUUAACUGAAUCCAUAGGUUAAUGAGGCGAACCGGGGGAACUGAAACAUCUAAGUACCCCGAGGAAAAGAAAUCAACCGAGAUUCCCCCAGUAGCGGCGAGCGAACGGGGAGGAGCCCAGAGCCUGAAUCAGUGUGUGUGUUAGUGGAAGCGUCUGGAAAGGCGUGCGAUACAGGGUGACAGCCCCGUACACAAAAAUGCACAUAUUGUGAGCUCGAUGAGUAGGGCGGGACACGUGGUAUCCUGUCUGAAUAUGGGGGGACCAUCCUCCAAGGCUAAAUACUCCUGACUGACCGAUAGUGAACCAGUACCGUGAGGGAAAGGCGAAAAGAACCCCGGCGAGGGGAGUGAAAAAGAACCUGAAACCGUGUACGUACAAGCAGUGGGAGCCUCUUAAUGGGGUGACUGCGUACCUUUUGUAUAAUGGGUCAGCGACUUAUAUUCUGUAGCAAGGUUAACCGAAUAGGGGAGCCGAAGGGAAACCGAGUCUUAACUGGGCGUUAAGUUGCAGGGUAUAGACCCGAAACCCGGUGAUCUAGCCAUGGGCAGGUUGAAGGUUGGGUAACACUAACUGGAGGACCGAACCGACUAAUGUUGAAAAAUUAGCGGAUGACUUGUGGCUGGGGGUGAAAGGCCAAUCAAACCGGGAGAUAGCUGGUUCUCCCCGAAAGCUAUUUAGGUAGCGCCUCGUGAAUUCAUCUCCGGGGGUAGAGCACUGUUUCGGCAAGGGGGUCAUCCCGACUUACCAACCCGAUGCAAACUGCGAAUACCGGAGAAUGUUAUCACGGGAGACACACGGCGGGUGCUAACGUCCGUCGUGAAGAGGGAAACAACCCAGACCGCCAGCUAAGGUCCCAAAGUCAUGGUUAAGUGGGAAACGAUGUGGGAAGGCCCAGACAGCCAGGAUGUUGGCUUAGAAGCAGCCAUCAUUUAAAGAAAGCGUAAUAGCUCACUGGUCGAGUCGGCCUGCGCGGAAGAUGUAACGGGGCUAAACCAUGCACCGAAGCUGCGGCAGCGACACUAUGUGUUGUUGGGUAGGGGAGCGUUCUGUAAGCCUGUGAAGGUGGCCUGUGAGGGUUGCUGGAGGUAUCAGAAGUGCGAAU